GUAAGGGUGAUAUGGCUGUGACAUCUCUUGCCCUACUGUUUGCCGGAGUUGAUUCACUCAUCUGGCUAGGUAGGUAAGGUACCUCUUCACCACUGCAUGUGUGUUCCUUCCAAAGCUGUGCUUGGUCAGAGAGGAUGACCUUCCCCAAUGGGAGAUGACCAUUCUUUGGCCAAGGGUCUGUGAGUAGCUGUGCUUCUUUGCUAGACCCUCUACACAAGCUCCGAAGAGAUGGCUUAGAGGGGUAGAUAGGGAGCUGGGCCAGUGGUUAAAGGCACUUGCUUGCAAAGCCUGUUGGCCUGGGUUCAAU
RNAcentral lists this small nuclear RNA (307 nucleotides) under Jaculus jaculus (lesser Egyptian jerboa). Its description in RNAcentral is "7SK RNA (ENSJJAG00000007558.1)". It matches the Rfam family "7SK RNA". From Rfam's summary of the family: 7SK was discovered as an abundant small nuclear RNA in the mid-70s but a possible function has only recently been suggested. Two independent studies have found that 7SK RNA binds the CDK9/cyclin T complex (known as elongation factor P-TEFb). Lineage: Eukaryota; Metazoa; Chordata; Mammalia; Rodentia; Dipodidae. The record is from Rfam by way of RNAcentral.